UGGGGAAUAUUGCACAAUGGGCGCAAGCCUGAUGCAGCCAUGCCGCGUGUAUGAAGAAGGCCUUCGGGUUUUAAAGUCCUUUCAGUCGGGAGGUAGGUGGUAAGGUUAAUAACCUUAUCAAUUGUCGUUACCUACAGACGAAGCACCGGCUAACUCCGUGCCAGCAGCCGCGGUAAUACGGAGGGUGCAAGCGUUAAUCGGAAUUACUGGGCGUAAAGCGCACGCAGGCGGUUGAUUGAGUCAGAGGUGAAAUCCCCGGGCUUAACCCGGGAAUUGCAUCUGAUACUGGUCAGCUAGAGGCUUGUAGAGGGGGGUAGAAUUCCAUGUGUAGCGGUGAAAUGCGUAGAGAUGUGGAGGAAUACCGGUGGCGAAGGCGGCCCACUGGACAAAGACUGACGCUCAGGUGCGAAAGCGUGGGGAGCAAACAGG
Molecule: ribosomal RNA, 429 nt
Filed under: Chloroflexota bacterium
Lineage: Bacteria; Bacillati; Chloroflexota
Description: Chloroflexi bacterium partial 16S ribosomal RNA
Rfam family: Bacterial small subunit ribosomal RNA
Source: RNAcentral